CCUACGGGUGGCAGCAGUGGGGAAUAUUGCACAAUGGGGGGAACCCUGAUGCAGCGACGCCGCGUGGGUGAAGGAGUACUUCGGUACGUAAAGCCCUAUCAGCAGGAAAGAAAAUGACGGUGCCUGCCUAAGAAGCCCCGGCUAACUACGUGCCAGCAGCCGCGGUAAUACGUAGGGGGCAAGCGUUAUCCGGAUUUACUGGGUGUAAGGGGAGCGUAGACGGCGGUGCAAGUCUGGAGUGAAAGCCCGGGGCUCAACCCUGGGACUGCUCUGGAAACUGUAAAGCUGGAGUGCAGGAGGGGCAGGCGGAAUUCCUGGUGUAGCGGUGAAAUGCGUAGAUAUCAGGAGGAACACCGGCGGCGAAGGCGGCCUACUGGACCGUAACUGACGUUGAGGCUCGAAAGCGUGGGGAGCAAACAGGAUUAGAUACCCUUGUAGUC
RNAcentral lists this ribosomal RNA (440 nucleotides) under uncultured bacterium. Its description in RNAcentral is "partial 16S ribosomal RNA". It matches the Rfam family "Bacterial small subunit ribosomal RNA", at positions 338 to 795 of the family's 1533-position model. The record is from RNAcentral.